This 494-nucleotide ribosomal RNA is filed under the name uncultured bacterium. RNAcentral's name for it is "partial 16S ribosomal RNA". It matches the Rfam family "Bacterial small subunit ribosomal RNA", at positions 28 to 507 of the family's 1533-position model. The record is from RNAcentral.
GACGAACGCUGGCGGCGUGCUUAACACAUGCAAGUCGAACGGUGAAGCGCCUUCCUUUUUGGUGGGUGUGGAUGAGUGGCGAACGGGUGAGUAACACGUGAGUAACCUGCCCCCUUCUUCUGGAUAACCGCAUGAAAGUGUGGCUAAUACGGGAUAUUCUGGGUCUGUCGCAUGAUGGGUCUGGGAAAGAUAUUGUUUCGGUGGGGGAUGGGCUCGCGGCCUAUCAGCUUGUUGGUGGGGUGAUGGCCUACCAAGGCGGUGACGGGGAGCCGGCCUGAGAGGGUGGGCGGUCCCACUGGGACGGAGACACGGCCCAGACUCCUACGGGAGGCAGCAGUGGGUACUAUUGCACGAUGGGCGCAAGCCUGAUGCAGCGACGCCGCGUGAGGGAUGGAGGCCUGCGGGUUGUGAACCUCUUUCGCCAGUGAAGCAGGCCUGCCUCGUUUGUGGGUGGGUUGACGGUAGCUGGAUAAGAAGCGCCGGCUAACUACGUG